CAUCACUACGCUAGAUGCAUAUCAAUAAGCGGAGGAAAAGAAACUAACAAGGAUUCCCUUAGUAACGGCGAGUGAAGCGGGAAGAGCUCAAAUUUGAAAUCUUCAAGGUUUUACCUUGACGAAUUGUAGUUUAAAGAAGUGUUUUCUGUUGAAGUUUUGGUAAAAGUUCUUUGGAAUAGGACAUCAUAGAGGGUGAGAAUCCCGUAUUUGACCAUUAUUUUCAGCUGUGUGAUACACUUUCAAAGAGUCGGAUUGUUUGGGAAUGCAGUCCAAAAUGGGUGGUAAAUUUCAUCUAAAGCUAAAUAUUGGCGAGAGACCGAUAGCGAACAAGUACCGUGAGGGAAAGAUGAAAAGAACUUUGAAAAGAGAGUUAAACAGUACGUGAAAUUGUCAAAAGGGAAGCGUUUGACACCAGUGUUGUUUUCUCGAAAAUCAAUUAAAAAAGGCCGGAUUUUGUGUUGUAUUGACCUUAAAAGCUUUCUUCACUCUUUUCUUGUCUUUUUUAAUGCACUUUUCGUUUAACAAGUCAACAUCAGUUUCUUUUGUUGUAAAAGGGUCAUUGGAAGGUGGCUUUCUUUUCGGAGAAAGUGUUUAUAGCCUUUGAUCUCUGCAACCGGAGAGACUGAGGUCUGCAGCGUAGACUCUUCGGGGUUAGAUACAUUUGUGCUAAGCUAUAGCUUUUUAUAGACAACUUGUUGACUAUGUUUAGUCUUGUAGGCUUACUCGCUUAUGCUAUUUUACCUACGCUUAGGAUGUUGAAGAUAUGCGCGACAC
Molecule: ribosomal RNA, 774 nt
Filed under: uncultured Neocallimastigales
Lineage: Eukaryota; Fungi; Neocallimastigomycota; Neocallimastigomycetes; Neocallimastigales
Description: partial large subunit ribosomal RNA
Rfam family: Eukaryotic large subunit ribosomal RNA
Source: RNAcentral